AUGGCUAGUCAAAAACUUAAGCAAUAUUUUCUGGGUCAUCCCAUUACUGUGGUCAGUUCUGCUCCCUUAGGGGACAUUAUUCAAAACAGAGAAGCCACAGGUCGGGUCGCCAAGUGGGCCAUUGAGCUUGGACCCCAUGGUCUGAAGUAUAUGCCUCACACAGCCAUCAAGUCUCAAGCACUUGUGGAUUUCAUAAAUGAUUGGACAAAGCUGCAGAUGCCUGAGGAGAAGUCAGAUAGCACAUAUUGGACUAUUCACUUCGAUGGCUCUAGAAAGCUGGAAGGCUCAGGGGCUGGAGUUGUUUUAACUUCCCCACGAGGUGAUAAAUUUUGUUAUGUUUUAAGGUUGAUGUUCCCUUGUACUAACAAUGCAGCUGAGUAUGAAGCCUUGCUCCAUGGUCUUCGGAUGGCUAAGGAGAUGAAUCUAAGCCGGGUGAGGUGUUUUGGUGACUCAGACUUGGUGGCUCAGCAAGUUUCGGGCACUUGGGAUUCUAAGGAUCUGCUCAUGGCGGCUUAUCGCCGCGAGGUUGAUGCUAUUGCUGGUCACUUCAAAGGUUAUCAAGUGGAACAUGUUGAUCGCAAGAAAAAUGAGGCAGCUGAUGCUUUGAGCUGA
This 612-nucleotide ribosomal RNA is filed under the name Triticum aestivum (bread wheat). RNAcentral describes it as "partial small subunit ribosomal RNA". Lineage: Eukaryota; Viridiplantae; Streptophyta; Magnoliopsida; Poales; Poaceae. The record is from RNAcentral.